AGACGACGACGGGUAGCCGGCCUGAGAGGGCGACCGGCCACACUGGGACUGAGACACGGCCCAGAMACCUACGGGAGGCAGCAGUGGGGAAUAUUGCACAAUGGGGGAAAMCCUGAUGCAGCGACGCAGCGUGCGGGAUGACGGCCUUCGGGUUGUAAACCGCUUUCAGCAGGGAAGAAGCGCAAGUGACGGUACCUGCAGAAGAAGUACCGGCUAACUACGUGCCAGCAGCCGCGGUAAUACGUAGGGUACGAGCGUUGUCCGGAAUUAUUGGGCGUAAAGAGCUCGUAGGUGGUUGGUCACGUCUGCUGUGGAAACGCAACGCUUAACGUUGCGCGUGCAGUGGGUACGGGCUGACUAGAGUGCAGUAGGGGAGUCUGGAAUUCCUGGUGUAGCGGUGAAAUGCGCAGAUWUCAGGAGGAACACCGGUGGCGAAGGCGGGACUCUGGGCUGUAACUGACACUGAGGAGCGAAAGCAUGGGGAGCGAACAGGAUUAGAUACCCUGGUAGUCCAUGCCGUAAACGUUGGGCACUAGGUGUGGGGGGCAUUCCACGUUCUCCGCGCCGUAGCUAACGCAUUAAGUGCCCCGCCUGGGGGAGUACGG
RNAcentral lists this ribosomal RNA (605 nucleotides) under Brevibacterium sp. CMT19. Its description in RNAcentral is "bacterial SSU rRNA". It matches the Rfam family "Bacterial small subunit ribosomal RNA", at positions 271 to 885 of the family's 1533-position model. Lineage: Bacteria; Bacillati; Actinomycetota; Actinomycetes; Micrococcales; Brevibacteriaceae. The record is from RNAcentral.